This 506-nucleotide ribosomal RNA is filed under the name uncultured bacterium. RNAcentral describes it as "partial 16S ribosomal RNA". It matches the Rfam family "Bacterial small subunit ribosomal RNA", at positions 30 to 523 of the family's 1533-position model. The record is from RNAcentral.
AUUGAACGCUGGCGGCAGGCCUAACACAUGCAAGUCGAGCGGCAGCGGAAAGUAGCUUGCUACUUUGCCGGCGAGCGGCGGACGGGUGAGUAAUGUCUGGGAAACUGCCUGAUGGAGGGGGAUAACUACUGGAAACGGUAGCUAAUACCGCAUAACGUCGCAAGACCAAAGAGGGGGACCUUCGGGCCUCUUGCCAUCAGAUGUGCCCAGAUGGGAUUAGCUAGUAGGUGGGGUAACGGCUCACCUAGGGACCGAUCCCUAGUUGGUCUGAGGGGAUGACCAGCCACACUGGAAAUGAGACACGGUCCAGACUCCGACGGGAGUCAGCAGUGGGGAGUAUUGGACAAUGGGCGCGAGCCUGAUGCAGCCAUGCCGCGUGUAUGAAGAAGGCCUUCGGGUUGUACAGUACUUUCAGCGGGGAGGAAGGCGUUGUGGUUAAUACCCACAGCGAUUGACGUUACCCGCAGAAGAAGCACCUGCUAACUCCGUGCCAGCCGCCGCCGUAA